Molecule: ribosomal RNA, 484 nt
Filed under: uncultured bacterium
Lineage: Bacteria
Description: partial 16S ribosomal RNA
Rfam family: Bacterial small subunit ribosomal RNA
Source: RNAcentral
AUUGAACGCUGGCGGCAGGCCUAACACAUGCAAGUCGAGCGGAUGAAGGGAGCUUGCUCCUGGAUUCAGCGGCGGACGGGUGAGUAAUGCCUAGGAAUCUGCCUGGUAGUGGGGGAUAACGUCCGGAAACGGGCGCUAAUACCGCAUACGUCCUGAGGGAGAAAGUGGGGGAUCUUCGGACCUCACGCUAUCAGAUGAGCCUAGGUCGGAUUAGCUAGUUGGUGGGGUAAAGGCCUACCAAGGCGACGAUCCGUAACUGGUCUGAGAGGAUGAUCAGUCACACUGGAACUGAGACACGGUCCAGACUCCUACGGGAGGCAGCAGUGGGGAAUAUUGGACAAAGGGCGAAAGCCUGAUCCAGCCAUGCCGCGUGUGUGAAGAAGGUCUUCGGAUUGUAAAGCACUUUAAGUUGGGAGGAAGGGCAGUAAGUUAAUACCUUGCUGUUUUGACGUUACCAACAGAAUAAGCACCGGCUAACCUCGUG